GGGGCCGUCCCGGAACGGCUGCGGCCGGGCACCCCGGGAGUUAAUCCGAAAGCGCCGCAAGCCCCGCGGGCCGGCCGCACCGCACGUGUCACCGAGAAGCUGAUGUAGAGAGAGACAGAGAAAGAGACAGAAAGCAAGAGACCAGAGUCCCGGGAAAGUCCUGCCGCGCCUCGGGACAAUUAUAAAAAUGUGGCCCCCUGGGUCAGCCUCCCAGCCACCGCCCUCACCUGCCGCGGCCACAGGUCUGCAUCCAGCGGCUCGCCCAGUGUCCCUGCAGUGCCGGCUCAGCAUGUGUCCAGCGCGCAGCCUCCUCCUUGUGGCUACCCUGGUCCUCCUGGACCACCUCAGUUUGGCCAGAAACCUCCCUGUGGCCACCCCAGGCCCAGGAAUGUUCCCGUGCCUUCACCACUCCCAAAACCUGCUGAGGGCCGUCAGCAACAUGCUCCAGAAGGCCAGACAAACUCUAGAAUUCUACCCUUGCACUUCUGAAGAGAUUGAUCAUGAAGAUAUCACAAAAGAUCAAACCAGCACAGUGGAGGCCUGUUUACCAUUGGAAUUAACCAAGAAUGAGAGUUGCCUAAAUUCCAGAGAGACCUCUUUCAUAACUGUAAGUCAAAAAAUGAAAAGCUUCAGCCUGUAUGAUGAAUUCAUAUCACUGAUGUCUGAUUAUUUUUUCUUCUAGAAUGGGAGUUGCCUGGCCUCCAGAAAGACCUCUUUUAUGAUGGCCCUGUGCCUUAGUAGUAUUUAUGAAGACUUGAAGAUGUACCAGGUGGAGUUCAAGACCAUGAAUGCAAAGCUUCUGAUGGAUCCUAAGAGGCAGAUCUUUCUAGAUCAAAACAUGCUGGCAGUUAUUGAUGAGCUGAUGCAGGCCCUGAAUUUCAACAGUGAGACUGUGCCACAAAAAUCCUCCCUUGAAGAACCGGAUUUUUAUAAAACUAAAAUCAAGCUCUGCAUACUUCUUCAUGCUUUCAGAAUUCGGGCAGUGACUAUUGAUAGAGUGAUGAACUAUCUGAAUGCUUCCUAAAAAGCGAGGUCCCUCCAAACCAUUGUCAUUUUUAUAAAACUUUGAAAUGAGGAAACUUUGAUAGGAUGUGGAUUAAGAACUAGGGAGGGGGAAAGAGGGAUGGGACUAUUAC
Molecule: small RNA, 1136 nt
Filed under: Pongo abelii (Sumatran orangutan)
Lineage: Eukaryota; Metazoa; Chordata; Mammalia; Primates; Hominidae
Description: retained intron
Source: RNAcentral